UACGGGGGGAGCAAGCGUUGUUCGGAUUUACUGGGCGUAAAGGGCGCGUAGGCGGCCACCGCAAGUCAAUUGUGAAAUCUCCGGGCUUAACUCGGAAAGGUCAACUGAUACUGCGGGGCUAGAGUGCGGAAGGGGCAACUGGAAUUCUCGGUGUAGCGGUGAAAUGCGUAGAUAUCGAGAGGAACACCUGCGGCGAAGGCGGGUUGCUGGGCCGACACUGACGCUGAGGCGCGAAAGCUAGGGGAGCAAACA
Molecule: ribosomal RNA, 252 nt
Filed under: uncultured prokaryote
Description: partial 16S ribosomal RNA
Rfam family: Bacterial small subunit ribosomal RNA
Source: RNAcentral